UUUACAUGCCUGUCUCUCCCACUAGAUGGUGCAACCACACAGAGACGUCAUCUGAUUUACCUAGCGUGGUGCUUGGCACAUAGUAGGUGCUCAAAAAAUUACUUGAAUGAAUGAAUGAAUAAAUGUGCUUCAUCUUAGUUGACAAAGCAACGGGAGAGGCUGGAGAUGGACUUGGUACGGAUCCACCCUGCAACUUCCCUUGAGGCAUCCACCCUUUCCUCGUUCCUCACAACCCUUCCAAAGCAAAGCUGUUCAACUGUGAGAUUUGCAAUUUGAUUUACUCCUGAGUGACAUCAUAGCCAUUACCAUGGCAACACCCAGCGAUGCCUGUCUGCCAGACAAAGUCUCUCCCAUCAGCAAAGGGCAGAUGGACACCCAGGAUGGAAAGGAGCCAUUUGUGAGGCACAAGCAUCAGCCUUUGCUGCCCUGCAGCCAGGGGCUGAUGGAGCUGGUGCUGGUAUAUCAGGGGUGGGUGCCCCUGCGGGGUGGAAGCCUCAAAAUCCUUCCUUGCCACGGAAGAACUCUUUAUCUCUAAGACAGGCCAGCUGCAGCCAAAAGCAAAAUUACGCCAGUGGGGGCCAAGUAUAACACAGGCAACUCUGGCUGGCUUAUCUGUGUAAUCCUCCCUUCGGCCCUCAAAACACUUGAGCAGUAGACAAAGCCAUUGUUUUCCUGUCUGACUAUCUCUCUCUUUCCCUUCCUGAUUUCUUACUUUCCCUCCUGCUGCCUUUCUGUCCUCUCUUUCUCUUACCCUACCUCACUACCAUCUUCUCUCUGUUUUUGUCAACAGUUGUCACAAACCUGAAGUGUGUCAGACCCUGUCUUGGACAGACGUGGAGUAUUAACUGGUGUCUAGGAUGGGUCUCUCUCUUAUGGAAAAAGGAGUAAAGCCCCACCCUUUCCUUUUGGGAGGAGGUCUUAGGUUGCAGCUUGUGGGUGAGGGGCAUUGAAGAGGAAAGAAAUGUUGCUGGUAUGAUGAGUAAAACCUCAGAACACAUUUCUUAUAGCAACAGAAUUAUAAACAAGAGUUGGUUGUAGUUAAAAUACUACUGGUAUCUCUCCAAGUAGUUAGGGAUCAAAUAAGAUUUUAUGGAUCAGUCUGGAAAUCCAACCAGCAUCUUAGGUGAAAGGAUCCUGAUUCUAAACUUUUAGACACUAUCUCACAUGCACUGAGAGCUGUAUCUAGUGUUCUCCCAUUUCCUCUCUCUGUGCUUCUCAGGGCCACUUAGACUUCCUUCAUCCCCAGAAUCAAAGGGACCAGAAACUUAGAAGAUGUCACAAUUUUAUCUGCUACUGACCCUGCAGGCAGGGCUGCCUGGUGGUGAAACAAUAUGGUAUGUAACAGAGUCGAGACAGGUUUGUGUAGGAUGGAUGCAGGCUCCAACCCUGUGCUGCACUGCCUGGCUGCCCGAUCUCCCUCAACGAGCCUCAGUUUUUCACCUGUAAAGUGGGGAUAAUGCGUCCACAUCUCAGGAUCAUUGUGAAGAGUGAGGACAUCACAUAUAAAAAAACUGGCCCACAGAAAGCAUGGAGUAAAUGCCAGCUGUUACAGCAGCUUCUGUAGGAAGGCAGAGCCUGCCUUGCAGCCACUCCACUGGCAAACGUGUCAAUAGGAAGAGUGAGAAGUGAGCAGUGCCUCCUGAGCUGAUGCCUACAGAGGAGCUGUGACAAUCUGCCUCUAGAACAACCUCAGCAAGCUGCCUGGCCCAGGGGAAAUCCAACCGUGGUGACUUUGCCCAGAUUCUGCAAGAUGCUUUCUAAUUGUUGGUGUUCACGAGGGACAAGCAACAGCUGAGCUCAUUCCCUUCCUAUCAAUUUGCAACAUCUGCCCCAGCCCUUACUGACAGUAGAGAAAAAUAAGGACUUUCCGAUCACACCUUUAGGCCACCAAUCUUCAAUGAGUUACUGGGCCCUUCCAGAAAUCAGAUUUUCUAACUGGUCCCUGCAUUGGCUCCAGCAGCUUUGGAGUGGAAAUCCAAAAGCAUGGGAAGACCCUGGGCCGAGGGAGCAGAGGCUGAAACUCUGGGAAAAGCUGUGAGGACCACAAAAGUGGUUGGGCCCCUAAUGGCCUCAAGACCCGGGGUACAACAAACCCCACAGGAGGCCCAAUGACACCCCCUGUCCUAACUCAGCUCAGGAAGAGGCAGCUGCCAUGGUUUAAAGAAUGUGGGUUUUUAGGGUAGAUAGACCCCACAUCUGCUCCAUA
RNAcentral lists this long non-coding RNA (2206 nucleotides) under Homo sapiens (human). Its description in RNAcentral is "HSALNT0290620". The record is from RNAcentral. Lineage: Eukaryota; Metazoa; Chordata; Mammalia; Primates; Hominidae.